GGCGCUGAAGCCCAGUUGGUAGGGUGCCUGCCUAGCAGGUCAGAUGCCCUGGGUUCUGUUCCCAGCACUGCCA
This 73-nucleotide transfer RNA is filed under the name Cricetulus griseus (Chinese hamster). It matches the Rfam family "tRNA". From Rfam's summary of the family: Transfer RNA (tRNA) molecules are approximately 80 nucleotides in length. Their secondary structure includes four short double-helical elements and three loops (D, anti-codon, and T loops). The record is from Rfam by way of RNAcentral. Lineage: Eukaryota; Metazoa; Chordata; Mammalia; Rodentia; Cricetidae.